RNAcentral lists this non-coding RNA (26 nucleotides) under Cricetulus griseus (Chinese hamster). The record is from RNAcentral. Lineage: Eukaryota; Metazoa; Chordata; Mammalia; Rodentia; Cricetidae.
UCUGACUUAAGUUUUUCUCCUUCCAG